Molecule: long non-coding RNA, 260 nt
Filed under: Daucus carota (carrot)
Lineage: Eukaryota; Viridiplantae; Streptophyta; Magnoliopsida; Apiales; Apiaceae
Description: long non-coding RNA (DCAR_LNC006071)
Source: RNAcentral
CACGUGUAAACUCUGUCGAGUCUUGACUAUGUAAACUCUGAUCAGACUUUAUUUAAACUCUGUCAGACUUUACUAAACUCUGAUCAGCUUCCAGUUUAAACUCUGAUGAUUCCUGUUCUAAAACAGACUUUAAGAAUAUUAGUAAUCAUCAAUUAUAUCUAACAAUCUCCCCCAACUUGUGCAUGAAUAAGUUAUGUGCAAGUUAACAGAUAAUUGAUGAUGUCAAAACAUUUAAGUCAAAUGCAACAGAGUUUAACUAU